GGAAGGUAAAAGUCGUAAACAAGGUUUCCGUAGGUGAACCUGCGGAAGGAUCAUUACAGAAAUAGGGGAAGGUUGCCUAACUGCAAUCCUUUUCUUUCUACACAUGUGUUUUUCUUUUUUUUGAAAACUUUGCUUUGGUGGGCCCACGGCCUGCCAGAGAUUAAACUCAACCAAAUUUUUAUUUAAUUGUCAACUUGAUUAACUAAUAGUCAAAACUUUCAACAACGGAUCCCUUGGUUCUCGCAUCGAUGAAGAACGCAGCGAAAUGCGAUAAGUAAUAUGAAUUGCAGAUAUUCGUGAAUCAUCGAAUCUUUGAACGCACAUUGCGCCCUUUGGUAUUCCAAAGGGCAUGCCUGUUUGAGCGUCAUUUCUCCCUCAAACCUUCGGGUUUGGUGUUGAGCGAUACGCUGGGUUUGCUUGAAAGAAAGGCGGAGUAUAAACUAAUGGAUAGGUUUUUUUUCCCACUCAUUGGUACAAACUCCAAACAUUCUUCCAAAUUCGACUUCAAAUCAGGUAGGACUACCCGCUGAACUUAAGCAUAUCAAUAAGCGGAGGAAAAGAAACCAACAGGGAUUGCCUUAGUAACG
This 587-nucleotide ribosomal RNA is filed under the name uncultured Ascomycota. RNAcentral describes it as "partial 18S ribosomal RNA". The stretch from base 214 to 367 matches the Rfam family "5.8S ribosomal RNA". Lineage: Eukaryota; Fungi; Ascomycota. The record is from RNAcentral.